Molecule: ribosomal RNA, 1665 nt
Filed under: uncultured eukaryote
Lineage: Eukaryota
Description: partial Bacterial large subunit ribosomal RNA
Rfam family: Bacterial large subunit ribosomal RNA
Source: RNAcentral
UUAGAAUCUAACAGAACGCUCUGGAAAGUGCGGCCAUAGUGGGUGAUAGCCCCGUAUGUGAAAGGUUCUUUGAAGUGAAAUCGAGUAGGACGGAGCACGAGAAACUUUGUCUGAACAUGGGGGGACCAUCCUCCAAGGCUAAAUACUCCUAACUGACCGAUAGUGAACCAGUACCGUGAGGGAAAGGCGAAAAGAACCCCUGUGAGGGGAGUGAAAUAGAACCUGAAACCGUAUACGUACAAGCAGUAGGAGCAGACUUGUUCUGUGACUGCGUACCUUUUGUAUAAUGGGUCAGCGACUUAUAUUUAGUAGCAAGGUUAACCGAAUAGGGGAGCCGUAGCGAAAGCGAGUGUUAACUGCGCGUUUAGUUGCUAGGUAUAGACCCGAAACCGAGUGAUCUAGCCAUGGGCAGGUUGAAGGUUGAGUAACAUCAACUGGAGGACCGAACCGACUAACUUUGAAAAGUUAGCGGAUGACUUGUGGCUGGGGGUGAAAGGCCAAUCAAACUCGGAGAUAGCUGGUUCUCCCCGAAAGCUAUUUAGGUAGCGCCUCGGACGAAUACCACAGGGGGUAGAGCACUGUUAAGGCUAGGGGGUCAUCCCGACUUACCAACCCUUUGCAAACUCCGAAUACCUGUGAGUACUAUCCGGGAGACACACGGCGGGUGCUAACGUCCGUCGUGAAGAGGGAAACAACCCAGACCGCCAGCUAAGGUCCCUAAAUAUUACUAAGUGGGAAACGAGGUGGGAAGGCUAAGACAGCUAGGAGGUUGGCUUAGAAGCAGCCAUCCUUUAAAGAAAGCGUAAUAGCUCACUAGUCGAGUCGGCCUGCGCGGAAGAUGUAACGGGGCUAAGUAAUAUACCGAAGCUGCGGACGCAAAGUUUACUUUGCGUGGUAGGGGAGCGUUGUGUAAGUGGCUGAAGGUGAGCUGAGAGGCGAGCUGGACAUAUCACAAGUGCGAAUGCUGACAUGAGUAACGAUAAGGGGAGUGAAAAACUCCCCCGCCGGAAGACCAAGGUUUCCUGUCCCAUGCUAAUCAGGGCAGGGUAAGUCGGCCCCUAAGGCGAGGCAGAAAUGCGUAGUCGAUGGGAAACGGAUUAAUAUUUCCGUACUUGGUAUAUCAGUGAAGGGGGGACGGAGAAGGUUAUGCAAGCCUGGCGUUGGUUGUCCAGGUGAAAGUGCGUAGAGUUGUUUCUUAGGCAAAUCCGGGAAACUACAUGCUCGAGACACGAGACGAGACUCUAAGGAGUUGAAGUUGCAAAUACCAUGCUUCCAGGAAAAGCCUCUAAACUUAUGAUAUAUCAAACCGUACCCCAAACCGACACAGGUGGUCAGGUAGAGAAUACUAAGGCGCUUGAGAGAACUUGGGUGAAGGAACUCGGCAAAAUCGUACCGUAACUUCGGGAGAAGGUACGCCUCUGUUUGUGAUUGAACUUGCUUCAUGAGCGAAUGGGGGCCGCAGUGAAAUGGUGGCUGGAACUGUUUAUUAAAAACACAGCACUGUGCUAAAUCGAAAGAUGACGUAUACGGUGUGACGCCUGCCCGGUGCCGGAAGGUUAAUUGAUGGGGUUAUCUUCGGAGAAGCUCUUGAUCGAAGCCCCGGUAAACGGCGGCCGUAACAAUAACGGUCCUAAGGUAGCGAAAUUCCUUGUCGGGUAAGUUCCG